RNAcentral lists this long non-coding RNA (1703 nucleotides) under Sus scrofa (pig). RNAcentral describes it as "lncRNA (ENSSSCG00025028258.1)". The record is from RNAcentral. Lineage: Eukaryota; Metazoa; Chordata; Mammalia; Artiodactyla; Suidae.
GAGUCCGGGAAGCCCGCGGCUGCUGCUGCUGCGCUUUAAGUGUCCGGAAGUGCGGCCGCACGCGCUGCAAUCCCUUUGUCCCCGCGGCCGGAAGGGCGCGGUGUGAUUAGUUGGCGUUUCGCGGCGGACGCCGAUUAGCCCGCGCGCUUGUCCGCCAGUCCCACAAGCUGCCUAGACGUUGGAGGGGCUAGAUGGUGCUUGGUCUGAAGAUGUUGAAAAACGUAAAGCCUGAGCCGAACCCCGAGUUUCAGCAACCUGGAGCUCGAGGACUGUAACCUGGGGAGGUCACAGGGUGGCCGCGAUGGCUUUAGAAUCCGGCUUUCUUGUUCCCAAGCAAACGCUUUGCCAUGUCAUCACCUGCCACCCCUCACUUGUAAAUCCAGGUCAGCUCGUUUAUCUUUUCCUUUUGCUGAGCCCAGACGUACCUUUUCUGACGGUUACUUCGCCACCUCGCCUCUCGGAGCGGUAUUCCGCUUCCUCGCUGAUUUGUUGAAAGCAGCAAGUCCAAAGAUCAAAAAGUUCAUCAAACCCCAGGCAGGGAGUUCCCGUCAUGGCACAGUUUAGGAACCAUGAGGUUGCGGGUUCGGUCCCUGCCCUUGCUCAAUGGGUGAAGGAUCCGGCGUUGCCGUGAGCUGUGGUGUAGGUUGAAGACGCGGCUCAGAUCCCCAGUUGCUGUGGCUGUGGCGUGGGCUGGCGGCUACAGCUCCAGUUGGACCCCUAGCCUGGGAACCUCCAUAUUGCUGCAGGUGUGGCCCUAAAAAGACAAAAAGACACACACACACACACACACACACACACACACACACACACACACACACACACACAGAGGCAGAAAAGAAAACAGGACAUUUCUACAGAUUUUACAUAAAUAAAAAGGAUUAUAAGAGGAUGCUAUGUUUUUCACAAAGAUGGCAUUGAAAGCAAAGAAGGAAGCCCCUGCCCCUUCCAAAGCUGAAGCCAAAGCCAAGGCCAAGAAAGCAGUGCUGAACAAUCCACAGCCACACAAAAAACGUUUGGUUGUCACCCACCUUCCCAAGUCCCAGAACACUGCAACUCAGAAGGCAGCCCAAAUAUCCUUGGAAGAGAGCCCCUGGGAGAAGCAGUCUUGACCACUCUGCCAUUAUCAAUUUCCCUCACCACCAAGUCAGCCUCGAAGAAGACGGAAGUCAACAACGUGCCUGUAUGCAUUGUGGAGGUCAAGGCCAACAAGCACCAGGCAGAAGAGGCUGUGAAGAAGCCCCAUGACAUUGCCUGGCUAAAGUCGACGCCUUGCUCAGGCCUAAUGGGGAGAAGAGGCAUAUGUUUGACUGGUUCCCAACUAUGAAGCUUUGGAUGUUGCCAACAAAGUUGGAAUCAUCUAAACUGAGUCCAGCUGGCUAAUUCUAAAUAUAAAAUUUCUCAUGGAGGAAAAAAAGGGAUACUAUGAACAAUUCACUCUGAGGACCCGGAGGAGGGACCGGGCAGCAGGGGAACAGUGACAUUUUACAUUUUGAAUUUCGUCCUGUGUGCACGAAUAGUGUGUUUAACCAAUAACUGACAAACACGUGAGCCCAGGCACACGUUGAAGGGAGGAAUCCGUGGUGGCCUAGCAGCUGGGGACUCAGCAUUGUCCCUGCUGUGGCUCCAGUUACUGCUGUGGCUCAGGUUCGGUUCCUGGCCCAGGAACUUCCCCAUCCCACAGGCGUGGCCAAAAAAAAGAAAAA